AUACUGGAAUGCUUGGCUCUCUACAAGGUCAGCAAGACAAUAAGAGCCUUCAUCAAGAACUCGAUGGGCAAGUGGAAAACAACUCUAGAAGCCAAUUCCAGGACAAUAACUCAAGUGAACAUUAAAUGUGGCAUAUACCAAGGUGAUGCGCUAUCCCCAAUGCUGUUCUGCAUAGGCCUCAACCCCCUCAGCUAGAUCAUCAAGA
Pelobates cultripes (western spadefoot toad) is the source of this 205-nucleotide non-coding RNA. Lineage: Eukaryota; Metazoa; Chordata; Amphibia; Anura; Pelobatidae. The record is from the annotation of a GenBank genome assembly.